RNAcentral lists this ribosomal RNA (276 nucleotides) under uncultured bacterium. RNAcentral describes it as "partial 16S ribosomal RNA". It matches the Rfam family "Bacterial small subunit ribosomal RNA", at positions 524 to 796 of the family's 1533-position model. The record is from RNAcentral.
UACGUAGGGGGCAAGCGUUGUCCGGAUUUAUUGGGCGUAAAGAGCGUGUAGGCGGCCAGGUAGGUCUGCUGUGAAAACUCGGGGCUCAACCCCGAGAUGUCGGCGGAAACCCUCUGGCUAGAGUCCGGAAGAGGAGAGUGGAAUUCCCGGUGUAGCGGUGAAAUGCGCAGAUAUCGGGAAGAAUAUCCGUGGCGAAGGCGGCUCUCUGGUACGGUACUGACGCUGAGACGCGAAAGCGUGGGGAGCGAACAGGAUUAGAUACCCCCGUGUACGUCC